RNAcentral lists this ribosomal RNA (691 nucleotides) under uncultured Lactobacillus sp. Its description in RNAcentral is "bacterial SSU rRNA". It matches the Rfam family "Bacterial small subunit ribosomal RNA", at positions 19 to 677 of the family's 1533-position model. The record is from RNAcentral. Lineage: Bacteria; Bacillati; Bacillota; Bacilli; Lactobacillales; Lactobacillaceae.
CUGGCUCAGGACGAACGCUGGCGGCGUGCCUAAUACAUGCAAGUCGAGCGAGCGGAACUAACAGAUUUACUUCGGUAAUGACGUUAGGAAAGCGAGCGGCGGAUGGGUGAGUAACACGUGGGGAACCUGCCCCAUAGUCUGGGAUACCACUUGGAAACAGGUGCUAAUACCGGAUAAGAAAGCAGAUCGCAUGAUCAGCUUUUAAAAGGCGGCGUAAGCUGUCGCUAUGGGAUGGCCCCGCGGUGCAUUAGCUAGUUGGUAAGGUAAAGGCUUACCAAGGCGAUGAUGCAUAGCCGAGUUGAGAGACUGAUCGGCCACAUUGGGACUGAGACACGGCCCAAACUCCUACGGGAGGCAGCAGUAGGGAAUCUUCCACAAUGGACGCAAGUCUGAUGGAGCAACGCCGCGUGAGUGAAGAAGGUUUUCGGAUCGUAAAGCUCUGUUGUUGGUGAAGAAGGAUAGAGGUAGUAACUGGCCUUUAUUUGACGGUAAUCAACCAGAAAGUCACGGCUAACUACGUGCCAGCAGCCGCGGUAAUACGUAGGUGGCGAGCGUUGUCCGGAUUUAUUGGGCGUAAAGCGAGCGCAGGCGGAAGAGUAAGUCUGAUGUGAAAGCCCUCGGCUUAACCGAGGAACUGCAUCGGAAABUGUUUUUCUUGAGUGCAGAAGAGGAGAGUGGAACUCCAUGUGUA